UAGCCAGGUAAUACCAGCCCCGCGAGUGGUCGGGACGGUUAUUGGGCCUAAAGCGCCCGUAGCCGGCCUAGCAAGUCUCCGCAGAAAUCCCCCGGGCCCAACCCGAGGGCUUGCGGAGAUACUGCUAGGCUAGGGGGCGGGAGAGGCCGGGGGUACGUACCGGGUAGGGCGGAAAUCCUAUAAUCCCGGUAGGACCACCAGUGGCGAAGGC
Molecule: ribosomal RNA, 211 nt
Filed under: uncultured archaeon
Lineage: Archaea
Description: partial 16S ribosomal RNA
Rfam family: Archaeal small subunit ribosomal RNA
Source: RNAcentral